CGGCUGGAAAUGGCGGUGUGCGGUGGUGGUAUACCUGUUGCAUUUGGGAUUUCACUGAGAGAAUAAGAAGGAAUCGACGAUGGACUGCUACGCAACUAUUGCACCACUGAAGGAUGUCUGUGUGCCGGUUUGUGCUCAGUUUCUCAGCCAGCGGGCCUGAGAAAGUGUGCCACAGCAGUCUGUCUAGUGGUGCUCUUUGUUCUGGAAGGACGCAAGCAUUGCUGAGGAGCCAUUUGACCUGCCGCCACACUAAUAUUGUAUUUGGCAAAGCCGAAGGCCUCUGCAAGCAGCCAGUCAUUCCAAGUCUCAACCAAUCCUUCCUCCAGUCAGCCAAUUUCUAGUGUCUAUGCGGAAAGGACUUGCGCAAAACUGGACACGGGACACUAAAAAGGCGAC
Molecule: non-coding RNA, 396 nt
Organism: Dermacentor albipictus
Lineage: Eukaryota; Metazoa; Arthropoda; Arachnida; Ixodida; Ixodidae
Source: RefSeq, a predicted model, not a curated record